GUUUGAUCCUGGCUCAGAUUGAACGCUGGCGGCAGGCCUAACACAUGCAAGUCGAGCGGAUGACGGGAGCUUGCUCCUUGAUUCAGCGGCGGACGGGUGAGUAAUGCCUAGGAAUCUGCCUGGUAGUGGGGGACAACGUUUCGAAAGGAACGCUAAUACCGCAUACGUCCUACGGGAGAAAGCAGGGGACCUUCGGGCCUUGCGCUAUCAGAUGAGCCUAGGUCGGAUUAGCUAGUUGGUGGGGUAAUGGCUCACCAAGGCGACGAUCCGUAACUGGUCUGAGAGGAUGAUCAGCUCACACUGGAACUGAGACACGGUCCAGACUCCUACGGGAGGCAGCAGUGGGGAAUAUUGGACAAUGGGCGAAAGCCUGAUCCAGCCAUGCCGCGUGUGUGAAGAAGGUCUUCGGAUUGUAAAGCACUUUAAGUUGGGAGGAAGGGCAGUAAGUUAAUACCUUGCUGUUUUGACGUUACCGACAGAAUAAGCACCGGCUAACUCUGUGCCAGCAGCCGCGGUA
This 517-nucleotide ribosomal RNA is filed under the name Pseudomonas sp. '4.3 MW-6'. RNAcentral describes it as "bacterial SSU rRNA". It matches the Rfam family "Bacterial small subunit ribosomal RNA", at positions 11 to 522 of the family's 1533-position model. Lineage: Bacteria; Pseudomonadati; Pseudomonadota; Gammaproteobacteria; Pseudomonadales; Pseudomonadaceae. The record is from RNAcentral.